Balaenoptera ricei (Rice's whale) is the source of this 565-nucleotide long non-coding RNA. RefSeq lists it as uncharacterized. The record is from RefSeq and is a predicted model, not a curated record. The transcript has 2 exons. Lineage: Eukaryota; Metazoa; Chordata; Mammalia; Artiodactyla; Balaenopteridae.
UUGUAACCCCAAAAGCAAAAUGACAGGCCCCAAAUUUUCUCCUUUUUCUUCCUCAUCUAGGUGCAAAGUGAAUCCAUCUUCCUCAGAAAUCUGUAAAAGCCUUCUCCAACUGGAGGUCCCGAUAAGGAACACAGAACUGACGAGCUACCACCAGCCGGAAGAGGGGCCAAAAUGAGGGAGACGCCAGCCCAUAAUAUGUCCUGCCAACCUCCCAGAAAUCCUCACGCUGGAAACCAUCUUGACUGAGAGAUGUAUGCGCUGCCAGGAAUUGGACCAAAUAUGGGCACAAGCAAGAUGAUUAGCCAGAGACAACCUGGAAAGCUAACUCCAUUACCAUAAAACCUGAGACUGCAAGCCACGUGGCAGAGCAGUUCUCCUGAGUUCCUUAUACCCGGCUGUUCUCCGCCCAGGCACCCCUUCCUAGUAAAAUCUUUUGCUUUGUCAGUACAGGUGUCUCCUUGGACAAUUCAAUUCCAAGUGUUAGACAAGAGUCCACUCUUGGGCCCUGGAAGGGUUCCCCCUUACAGUAACAUAACCAUAAAUGAGCCUCUUUUUUUUUCCCUAA